This 865-nucleotide long non-coding RNA is filed under the name Ictidomys tridecemlineatus (thirteen-lined ground squirrel). RNAcentral's name for it is "lncRNA (ENSSTOG00000030528.1)". Lineage: Eukaryota; Metazoa; Chordata; Mammalia; Rodentia; Sciuridae. The record is from RNAcentral.
CGGGCUCUGUGGGGCCAGCAGUGUGGCCACUGACUGCUGCAGGGCUGGGGCGAUCCACCCUGGCCUUCCUGCCGCCCCGCCACAGGUGGACUUCCAGAGCGAUGGUCCCUGGGGUCCUCUGCUGGGAGGAAGCCCUGUCACACAGGAGAGGGCGACUAUCAGGACGCAGCAAGGACCCCUCCGAGAAGCCGAGAGGACAAAGAGCGGCUGCAGAUCACGGAAAUUAAAGUGUUCAGAGGAGCGAGGAAGACAGCAGGCCAGCAGCCGCCCGCAGAUGCCCAUGUUGCGGGCUUCUGUCCACCUGAAAGCCAGUCCUGCCAGAGAGCGGCUGUGAUCCAAGAGGGAAACGGAGCCAGAGCCCACAGUGGAGCUGCUCGGUCAGGGCAGCCUGUGAGCCUUCUGACCCUGUCUGACCCCAGCCCUUUCCUGGCCAGCCUCCUCUCUGGGCCUCCAGGCUGGGCCUCCGUUCCCCAGUUGCAGAAUGGGGUGACCACGUGGGCAGCGUCAUACACACAGCUGAGCACUGCAGCUUGAGUCUGCCCGCCCUGCUGAUGCCAGCCAGAGCUGCUGCUGGGCUGCCCGGCAGCGCCAAGGCCCUGGGACCCACCUCCAGACGGCGCCGGGCUCCAGUCUGUUUGCUCAACAGAGAGCCUGGCAGGCACAGUUCCCCUGGUUCCAGCCCCUUUUUGAACCAGAUUCAUUUGAUUUCUCAUCUUUAUUUUGGCAGGAAAAAAAUGUAAUUUCUAAUUUAAAAAUGUAGAAAGCAUCCUCCUCGUCAACAUGCGCCCAGCUCAGAUGGUGUUUGGGAAAUUAGUUGUGUCACUCACCAGCACCGGGCCCAGCAGUGGGGAUGGCCUCUCCCUCC